GAGUAGGUCGGCAACCCACCCGACCCGUCUUGAAACACGGACCAAGGAGUCUUACUUUCGUGCGAGUCCGAGGGCCCGGAAGCCCGACGGCGCAGCGAAAGCGAAGAUCGCGAUCCCUCUUCCGGUGGAGAAGGGGGCGCAGCGACCGCCCUUCCGUGWAGGCGGAAGGAGCGAGAGCACGAAGGUAGGGACCCGAUAGGUGGUGAACUAUUCUCGGGCAGGACGAAGGCCGAGGAAACUCGGCUGGAGGUCCGAAGCGGUUCUGACGUGCAAAUCGAUCGUCCGACCCGAGUAUAGGGGCGAAAGACCAAUCGAACCACC
RNAcentral lists this ribosomal RNA (321 nucleotides) under Trichonephila senegalensis. Its description in RNAcentral is "Nephila senegalensis partial large subunit ribosomal RNA". It matches the Rfam family "Eukaryotic large subunit ribosomal RNA", at positions 625 to 944 of the family's 3401-position model. Lineage: Eukaryota; Metazoa; Arthropoda; Arachnida; Araneae; Nephilidae. The record is from RNAcentral.